Physeter macrocephalus (sperm whale) is the source of this 298-nucleotide long non-coding RNA. RefSeq lists it as uncharacterized. The record is from RefSeq and is a predicted model, not a curated record. The transcript has 3 exons. Lineage: Eukaryota; Metazoa; Chordata; Mammalia; Artiodactyla; Physeteridae.
CGGCGGAUCUCGGCGCGCCUGCGCAUCUGCGGGGCGCGGACCCAGGUGUCCAGUCUCUGUGGCUCUCACCGGCCCAGAUCGCGGGGCCGCGGGAGGACGCCCUGGAUACCCAGAACCUGGGCGGAGAUGGGGGAGAAGGGUCUGCUGCACGAGGCACAGGGGGCUCUGCAGGAAGGGGGACAUCUGACCCCAAGAUCUGCAAGCGUUUCAAGAGUUGGGCAGAGUUUCUUUUACACAGAGGCUUAAACAACACCAGGAAGGACCAGUUCCCCAGCCAGGGAUCGAACCCUCACCGCCU